GGGAGUGUAGCUCAGUGUUAGAGCGUUUGCCUAGCAUGCUUCAGGCCCUGGAUUCAAUCUCCACCACCCCCC
Molecule: non-coding RNA, 72 nt
Organism: Ictidomys tridecemlineatus (thirteen-lined ground squirrel)
Lineage: Eukaryota; Metazoa; Chordata; Mammalia; Rodentia; Sciuridae
Source: Rfam